Molecule: long non-coding RNA, 435 nt
Filed under: Panax ginseng (ginseng)
Lineage: Eukaryota; Viridiplantae; Streptophyta; Magnoliopsida; Apiales; Araliaceae
Description: long non-coding RNA (PGIN_LNC013203)
Source: RNAcentral
AUAAGUACAAAAUCAAGGAGCAUAUCCCGCGAAGUCACUAUAGCAGGCACAUCAAAGACAAGCCAAAUAUUUUAAUGCUAUAGUCAAAACUCAAAAGACUAUAACAGCCAAACCCUAAGAUAAGAGAGUUUGUUAACAUGUUUUUUAAAUUUCUUGAAAGUGUACAAUUUAUAUUUUAUAAUUCUAAUACUGUUUUGAGUAAUGACAGAAGCUAGCAGCGUUAGGAUGUUCUCCAUGAGAUCUUCGAUUUCGUUCAUUCCAUAUUUUAUAAACCAAAGUAGCCAAACAAGGUUUUUUGAUGCGGGAAGUCAUGUAAUCCAUCCAAGUAAAUUGAACAUGAUUAAUCAGUUGAUACCAAUUAAAUGGGAUCCCAAACCAGCCCUGAUGAGCAAAAGCAGUUUUCAAGAUAUGCCUAGAUACGUCACAGUCAAAAAA